RNAcentral lists this ribosomal RNA (490 nucleotides) under uncultured bacterium. Its description in RNAcentral is "partial 16S ribosomal RNA". It matches the Rfam family "Bacterial small subunit ribosomal RNA", at positions 28 to 507 of the family's 1533-position model. The record is from RNAcentral.
GAUGAACGCUCGCUACAGGCUUAACACAUGCAAGUCGCGGGGCAGCAUGGGGGUUGCUUGCCACUCCCGAUGGCGACCGGCGCACGGGUGAGUAACGCGUAUCCAACCUGCCCUUCACCACGGGAUAACCCGGCGAAAGUCGGACUAAUACCGUAUGUUGUCCAUUGACGGCCUCCGAUUUGGACGAAAGGCUUUGCGGUGAAGGAUGGGGAUGCGUCCGAUUAGCCAGACGGCGGGGUAACGGCCCACCGUGGCUACGAUCGGUAGGGGUUCUGAGAGGAAGGUCCCCCACACUGGAACUGAGACACGGUCCAGACUCCUACGGGAGGCAGCAGUGAGGAAUAUUGGUCAAUGGGCGUAAGCCUGAACCAGCCAAGUAGCGUGCAGGAUGACGGCCCUAUGGGUGGUAAACUGCUUUUAUGCGGGGAUAAAGUGGCCCACGGGUGGGCUUUUGCAGGUACCGCAUGAAUAAGGACCGGCUAAUUCCGUG